UACAGAGGUGGCAAGCGUUGUUCGGAAUUACUGGGCGUAAAGGGCGCGUAGGCGGCCUUCUAAGUCAGACGUGAAAUCCCCGGGCUCAACCCGGGAACUGCGUCCGAUACUGGUGGGCUUGAAUCCGGGAGAGGGAUGUGGAAUUCCAGGUGUAGCGGUGAAAUGCGUAGAUAUCUGGAGGAACACCGGUGGCGAAGGCGGCAUCCUGGACCGGUAUUGACGCUGAGGCGCGAAAGCCAGGGGAGCAAACGGG
This 253-nucleotide ribosomal RNA is filed under the name uncultured bacterium. RNAcentral describes it as "partial 16S ribosomal RNA". It matches the Rfam family "Bacterial small subunit ribosomal RNA", at positions 524 to 776 of the family's 1533-position model. The record is from RNAcentral.